RNAcentral lists this ribosomal RNA (772 nucleotides) under uncultured Neocallimastigales. RNAcentral describes it as "partial large subunit ribosomal RNA". It matches the Rfam family "Eukaryotic large subunit ribosomal RNA", at positions 26 to 644 of the family's 3401-position model. Lineage: Eukaryota; Fungi; Neocallimastigomycota; Neocallimastigomycetes; Neocallimastigales. The record is from RNAcentral.
CGUCUAUAUACGUAUAGCAUAUCAAUAAGCGGAGGAAAAGAAACUAACUAGGAUUCCCUCAGUAACGGCGAGUGAAGCGGGAAGAGCUCAAAUUUGAAAUCUUCAAGGUUCUACCUUGACGAAUUGUAGUUUAAAGAAGUGUUUUCUGUUGGAGUUUUGGUAAAAGUUCUUUGGAAUAGGACAUCAUAGAGGGUGAGAAUCCCGUAUUUGACCAUUAUUUCCAGCUUUGUGAUACACUUUCAAAGAGUCGGAUUGUUUGGGAAUGCAGUCCAAAAUGGGUGGUAAAUUUCAUCUAAAGCUAAAUAUUGGCGAGAGACCGAUAGCGAACAAGUACCGUGAGGAAAGAUGAAAAGAACUUUGAAAAGAGAGUUAAACAGUACGUGAAAUUGUCAAAAGGGAAGCGUUUGACACCAGUGUUGUUUUCUCGAAAAUCAAUUAAAAAAGGCCGGAUUUUGUGUUGUAUUGACUUUAUCAGCUUUCUGCACUCUUUUCUUGUCUUUUUUAAUGCACUUUUCGUUUAACAAGUCAACAUCAAUUUCUUUUGUUGUAAAAGGGUCAUUGGAAGGUGGCUUUCUUUUCGGAGAAAGUGUUUAUAGCCUUUGGCCUCUGCAAUCGGAGAGAUUGAGGUCUGCAGCGUAGAUCCUUCGGGGUUAGAUACAUUUGUGCUAAGUUAUAGCCUUUCAUAGACAACUUGUUGACUAUGAUCAGUCAUGUAGCUUACUCGCUUAUGCUAUUUUACCUACGCUUAGGAUGUUGAAGUCAUCGUAUCGCC